CUUGAGUCUUUCCUGAAGCUGAGGACCGCGGCUGUCUGAGGCGCUGCCUGAAUAUCCAUCGCCACCUCUUCGCUUUUCACUAUCCUCUCUGCAGCUGCGGCCAAAACUGGAGGGCAAAGUGUUUUCAACAGUCAUGCUUCGGAGCACGUUAUGAGCACGCCCUAGUUCCGAAAGCGGCAGUCGGGUAGGUUCUGGUCAGGCGGCGCGGGCGACGCCUCAGUGGAAAAGUGGCUCUCUGGGCCUCAGUGCCCAAUCUCCGCCCCACCACCCCACGUGGUUGGAGGUUUCCAGAAUCGCUGCCACCACCGCGCCGCGCUACUCCCGUCCAGCCGAGCGCUUCUUUGCUUCUUCCUAUUCCCUAGGUCUAGCGGUCAUGAUAAGCGCUAGCCGAGCCGCAGCAGCCCGCCUCGUGGGCGCCGCAGCUUCCCGGGGCCCCACGGCUGCUCGCCACCAGGUAAGAAACUGUCGGGCCUUCCCGAAACGGCUCACGGUCUCAGGACCCAGUAGGGCAGGCCGCGCCCUUCAGGGUUAGGUUCUUCAAGGGAAAAUCACGAGGGAAAGAAGGUAACGGACUUAAGUAUUUAGCGUUGCCGGCUUAAGGCCUAGUUCUGGGCCCUCUUCCUCUGCCCUUCGGGUCCUGCUGAGUCACACUACUCGUGAUCUAGUCUCUUAUCCCACGAAUUACGAGGUGGUGGUCCUAACAGUCUGUUCUGUGUCUGGUUGGAUAGGUUUCGCCUUGGGUGAGGGAUGCAGCCUGUUGGGAGGGAGCCGCUAGUAUACGUUUCAAUUUCACCUGAGUCGAAGGAUAGGUCUUCCUUUGUGCAGAGUAGUGUGUGUAGGACCCCGGUGGUGUGGUGAAUAAAGGAAGAGAAAUGCCUGAAGAAAUCCAAAAUCAAAUUUCAGCUUCAGUUUUCGUGUUUAGGAACACCUUCUGAAAAUUGUACUCGUUUGUACUUCAGAAAAGUAAGGACAAGAAAGAAGGUUGUGGUUGCUCUUCAUCUAAAACGAAAGUUACAUCUUUGGUGAAUGGGAAUUGAAGCUAUCCACCGAGACGUGGGUUUAAUGGAAGGCUUGAAAGUAGUCCUAGGUUAGAUGUUAACAAAGUAAUAAAACGUCUUUUAUCCAGAUGGAAAGCUUCUGCCUAACCCCCCUCCCCCUUUUUUAAUGGCUCUACAAUAUUAAUACCGUGACAAGGUCAGCACAAACUUCUGAGUUACUUAGAAUCUGAGUACACACACAUUCAGGCUGAUGCAUAAAACUCUUAAAGAAAUCAUUAGAACAAGCCUAAGUUUAAUUAUGUUGUUGAUGACUGAUGCAACUGUUUUUUAUUUUUUAGGAUGGUUGGAAUGGCCUUAGUCAUGAGGCUUUUAGGUUUGUUUCAAGGAGAGAUUAUGCGUAAGUAUAACUUAAUUUCCUUUGACAGAGGACACAUAUUAGCGGUCUAUUCCUUUUUUAAUAACCUAGUGAGAAGCACUACUUCAACCUGCUUAUUUAUAAUGUAGUGUACCACUAUUUUGCUCCCAUAACAAAUAUUUGUAUUUCCUUCUGUUGUUUUGGAGUCCUUCUGUUGUUUUGGAGUCCAGUAAUAAGGUAAUAACUAUGACAUUGUUUUAAAUGUCUUACAGAUCAGAAGCAAUCAAGGGCGCAGUUGUUGGUAUUGAUUUGGGUACUACCAACUCCUGUGUGGCAGUUAUGGAGGGUAAACAAGCAAAGGUGAGCAUGAUAAAGAAGCUCUGGGUCACAUAGAAAUAGCUAGUGUCCACUCCAGAAUUAUGUGCUUUGGGGCUUAGAUGGGAAUUCUGAGGUUUGGUUUGCAUUUUAAAAGCUGCUUUUGGUUUCUUAAGAUUUGUGAGGUGAGAAUCUUUGUGAUGCUGAUAAUUGAAUGAAUUUCACUUCCCUAUGGGAUUGAAAAACAUUCACCUGGGACAGAGGCCAGACUGGCUUGCCGUGUAAUAGUGCAGCAGUUUUUUAAAUAUAUUGAACCAAGAUGAGAGGUUGCAGGCUAGAAGCAAAUGGAGUCACACAUGCAAGAGCUUUCUAGAUAAAGGCUGUUACUCUGAAGCCUACUUAACUCUUUGUAUGUAACAUUUUUAUUCCCUCUGGGUUGUUACCAAGAUUUAGAGCACCUGAGAUUCUACAGUCUUGCCUCUUCCUACAUGGGCUUUAAUGCGUUUCCCUCAUGUCCUUGUCUGAAACACUAUGUAGAGGAGUCUUUCUCCAUUUGUUUAGUAUCAGUAAUCCUUUUUAGUGUAUAUUUGUGCUUCUUGGUAUAUAUUUUACAUGCCUGAAAUUUGUAGCCAUCACAGAAAUGUAAGAUUUAAUUUUCUAUGCCGAAGGAGAGGUUAUCUUUUUCAACACUGAGUUUGAAAAACCUGAUGAAUAGUUUUUCUACGACUUUUUGUUAUUAGUUGUGAGUUAUUUCAAGUUAUAGGUUUAAAGAUACCAAACUGUUAAAUGCUUUCAAGAGUUGGUAUUUACUGAGUUAGAAUUCACAGUAGUAAAGCAUGCCAGUUAAUGCUGUAUUUAAACUUUUGUGAAAUAGUUGCUGUUAAUAUUCUGGUGGGCUGGAGUUGUAGCUCAGUGGUAGAGCACAUGCCAAGUAUGUAUGAGGCACUGCGUUCAAUACUCAGCACCACAUAAAAAUGAAUUUUAAAAUAAAGGUAUUGUGUCCAUCUACAACUUUAAAAAAAAAAAAAGAUGCUGGUGGUUACUAGAAUCUUAAUUCUUAUUUUGGGGACUUUAGGUGCUGGAGAAUGCUGAAGGUGCCAGAACCACCCCUUCCGUUGUUGCCUUUACAGCAGAUGGUGAACGGCUUGUUGGGAUGCCAGCGAAGCGACAGGCUGUCACCAACCCAAACAAUACAUUCUAUGCCACCAAGCGUCUCAUUGGCCGGCGAUACGAUGACCCUGAAGUACAGAAAGACAUGUGAGUAAUAGCAAAAAACAGUUAUUUGCAAGGGCCACACAGAACACUCUUAGCACUUUAAGAUCCUCAAAACAUCUUUCUUUAGUGGAUUACAUGUUGGGAGUCAAGAGAGGAAUCCAUGCCUCUGAAGUAGGGGUUCAUCCUUUCUUACAACAGAAACUUCAUUUUUGCCUUCUUGAUUCAGUAUUUGCUGUUUUGAUCGUGCAUGUGAAGGUUUAUGAGAUAUUCCUGAACUUUGUGAAUCAAUGGCAGAAUAAGUUAAUGGCAUAGGUUCUAUCGUGUAUUGAUCAAAUAUAUACAGAUACAGGGCAGGGCAAUGGGGGGGGACACUUGAGUUUGCUUUUAUUUCGGGUUAAAAAUACCAGACAUGUAGAGUUACCCGUUUUUGUAUAAUUUUUUAAAAAAUAUUUUUAGUAGAUAUUCACAGUACCUAUAUUUUAUUUUUUUGUUUUGUUUGUUUUAAUGUGCUGGGGAACGAACCCAAUGCCUCAUGCUUGCUAGGCAAGUGCUUUACCACUGAGUCACAACCUUCGCCCCAAUUUUUUUUUUUUUUAAUUGGUUUGUUGAACUUUAAUUGGAGUGUCAGUUCUAUAGUAAUCAUUGGGUUUUGUGACUGUUUUUUUCCCAGUUAGGGUAAUUUAAGGUUCAUCCUUAUCUCGUGGCUUAUAUCAAUCUUCAUUUCUUUUCAUGACUAAAUAAUAUUCUGUAUAGAUAUAUACAUUUGUUUAACCAUUUGUCAUUUGAUGGACAUUUGGGUUAUUUUCACUUUUGGCAUCUGAAUGAAUGCUACCUUAAGCAUUCAUGUACACAUUUUUAUUAUUUUCUAAAGAUUUUCAUUAAAUGAUGUUAUGAAAUUAUCCUUUGUUCAUGAGUCUCUUGUGGGGUGGAUAGUGGACAUUUGUGACAUAACUUUGUUAUGGUAGUUAUCUCAUAUAAUUUCUAUGUGGCUUUCAGUAAAAAUGUUCCCUUCAAAAUUGUCCGUGCCUCCAAUGGUGAUGCUUGGGUUGAGGCUCAUGGAAAACUGUAUUCUCCAAGUCAAAUUGGAGCAUUUGUGUUGAUGAAGAUGAAAGAAACUGCAGGUGAGUGUUCACAUCUGGAAAAGUUUGAAUAUUUUGACUUACCUGAGAUUACCCUACUGUUCUGUAGCUGAGUCAUGCCCUUUGUACAGAAAACCUAGGAAAGGCAAAACUCUUAUUAUUCACUAUAUCAACCUCCCUAAUUUCACAUUUUCCUGAUACUAUGUGGGCUUGCUGCUUUUGUGUUGGAGAGUUUAGCAUUGAAUUGAAAGUCAAAAGGCUAUGCCGUAAGCUUUUGCCCCUAUUAAGCUUAUAACUUUUGCAUUUUAAAAACUAGUGGCUGUUUUAAGUCUAAAGGUCAUUGUGACUUGGUGAACCUUCACUAACAUACUAGAGGUGAGAUUUUUUUGAGUUUUCAGCCAGUGUCUUUAAUUUUGGAGUAUUUCUUAAAAGGUCUGUCUCAUGUUAAUUACUUGCUAAAACAGUGACCUGUUGUCUUUGGCCUUAAAAGGAUGACACAGGUUGCAAGGCUAUGUUAAUAAUUCUGUUGCUUGUGUUUUGUGGCAUAAUACCAUGAUUAAAUUUAUUCUGAUUCUUUUCCAGAAAAUUACUUGGGUCACACAGCAAAAAAUGCUGUAAUCACAGUCCCUGCUUAUUUCAAUGACUCACAGAGGCAGGUGAGAUCAGUUAGCUUUCUUCUUUACAAAAUGUUGCCUGGGACACAAGGUAGGGGAAAAUGCUUUUAUCUUUGUUUUCUCUAGGCCACUAAGGAUGCUGGCCAGAUAUCUGGACUGAAUGUGCUUCGAGUGAUUAAUGAACCCACAGCUGCUGCUCUGGCCUAUGGUUUAGACAAAUCUGAAGACAAAAUGUAAGUUUGUAAAUACAGUCCAGCCUGGAUGCAUGAAACUAAGGUCAUGUAGCCAUGAGAUUCAUUCUGAAUCCUCAUUGAGCUUUGUUUGUAUUUAGAGUAAUAAUAUGCUUGCUUUUCCUUCAAGUUAUUUAAGAUCAUUCCAUUAUUUACUUUGGGGCCUUGGUCAUUUAUUUUUCUCUUGAUAUUCAUGUUGACAAUUAUUUCUCCAAAACCGGGUUGAGUGCUGUCUUAACUGAUACUAAAAAUCGAGUUCAUUUUCUCUCUGCAUUUUCCAUGGUUUUUUUAAAUCAGGGCCUUGUGUUAAUGUGUGCUCAAAUGUCACUUAGGCAUGUAUCAUGAUUAUACUUUAAUAGCUAAGUUUAACUUCCUUUGGUUGUUGAAAUUCAGUCCUUGGGAUAAGUUCUGUACCAUAAGGCUUUCUUUUUCUUUCUAGCAUUGCUGUGUAUGAUUUAGGUGGUGGCACUUUUGACAUUUCUAUCCUGGAAAUACAGAAAGGCGUGUUUGAGGUGAAAUCUACCAAUGGGGACACUUUCCUUGGUGGUGAAGACUUUGACCAGGCCUUGUUACGACACAUUGUGAAGGAGUUCAAGAGAGAGGUUGGUUACCAUUGUGGUUAAUAAGUGUGAACUUGGGGAAUUUGAGAAUUUCUUUGUUCAGAAUACUCUUGACAUAGUACCUUUAUUUUAUUUAUGUGGUGCUGAGGAUCGAACCCAUGCCUCACGUUUUUUUUGUUUGUUUAGAGAUAGGGUCUCACUAAGUUGCUUUGCAUAUCUCUGUUGUUCAGGCUGGCUUUGAACUCUCAAUCCUCCCGUCUCAGCCUCCUGAGCAGCUGGGAUUAUGGUCGUUUACUAUCACACCAGGCUGCUCUUGGCUUUUUUCUACAACUUUUUGCUCUUAACAACUACUGAAAUAAUUGUGUUUCACUUUGAUGGGCAAUGAACUAUUCUGGUUAUUGUAGCUUUAGAAUGGGAAUAAUGUCAAUCACUAUAUAGUAUUUGAAAAGGCAUUAAGGGAUUCCUUCUUUGAAUUAGGAGUUCUAGAGCCAGAAAGAGCUGAAAAUCAUUCAUUUCAGUCUCCAGACUCCAGGCAGAUAGAUAACCGUUUAAGAAUUAAGUUUUCUUCCCCACAGAUUUUUACGAUUAAUGAAAAGUAAUUUAUGUUAGCUUAUGAAGAUACGGCUGCAUUUCAUGGUGUUUUGCAUUGUUACUGCAACUUCAGUAGUAUUUAUCACCUCACUAAUGGUAAUAUCAUAUCAUCACUUUGUAGACAGGGGUUGAUUUGACCAAAGACAAUAUGGCACUUCAGAGGGUUCGAGAAGCUGCUGAGAAGGCUAAAUGUGAACUCUCCUCAUCUGUUCAGGUAAGAUGUGGGAAAAAUCCUAGCAGUGUUUAUGGUUGUACUUAACUUGAAUUUGUUUGAAUAGUAUAUUCUGUUUGUCCCAAUGGAAGUGUAAUCUCUUUACAGUUUUUUGGUUCGUAAAACCUUUGCCAUGAACAAAGGAGCAGUGCAGUCAUCUAGGUUUUUAUUUUAGUUUAGUUUUUGAUAGACCUUUAUUUAUUUAUACGUGGUGCUGAGAUUUGAACCCAGUGCCUCACACAUGCCAGGCAAAUGCGUUAACCACUGAGCCACAGCCUCAGCCCCUCAUCUGGAUGCGCUGAAAUUUUUUAGCCACCAAAAUAAGAGGUGGUAUGUACAAAUGACAGAUCAUACAUUUAUUUACCUUUAAAUUAUUUUAGGGCUGGGGAUGUAGCUCAGUGGUAGAGCACUUCUCGAGCAUGUACAAAGCCCCAAAUUUGAUUUCCUUUCUCCGCUCCCAAAAUUGAUUUUUUGUGUGUGCCACAGUGGAACCCAAGGCAGGUGCUCUACCACUGAGUGGUUCUCAGCCUAAUACAUUGAUUUAAAAAGCUAGCCUAGCAAUGUGCAGAAUUAGAAUCACUAGCCUGAAAAAACUGCUCUUUUCACUUAAAAUUGAGUACAUGUCCUUGUGAAUCUUUUAAGAGUCUAAUUGCCUCUCAUUUAAUAAUUCGGAUUAUCAGACUAGAAAAUGCUGUGAAAGAAACCUGGUUCAAGUCUGAGGCAUAUGCACCUGUGUUUUUCCCUCUGAGCAUCAAAUUUGCUCAGCAUCUGUUUAAGAUGUCAGCACAUUUGGCUUUAGUUUUGAGAGGUGAAACUUAAUUUUGCCUUUACUCUCAUGUUGGAUCUGGGUUCAGACCCACCAAGGUGGAAGUCCUGUAAUCUAUUUCUGAGUUCUUCGGUGACAUCAGGAAAAGCAGAGCAGUGACUAGUUGAUCAUCCAUAGGGAAAAGUUAUUUAUGAUACUAUCCUGUUGAUAAAGUGAUUGUUGCUCAUUAACCUGGAUUCUCUGGCGAUUGAACCCAAGGCACAUACAUGUUCUACCACCAAGGUAAUCUGUAGCCCCCCAGAUCUGGAUUUUUUUUCCCCUCUACUGGGUAGUGAAUCUAGGAGCGCUUAACCACUGAGCCACAUCCCCAGCCCUUUUUUCUCUUAUUUAGCAACAGGGUCUCACUGAGUUGCUAAGGGCCUCUCUGAGUUGCUGAAGCUGACUUUAAACUCAAAAUCCUCCUGCCUCAGCUUCCUGAGCUACUGGGAUUAGAGGCAUAUACCACCACACUUGGCCUAAAUCUGGAUUUUUUAAGUGGUUUGUAUGGAGUAACAAAGUUGUGUACAGUCAUUCUAAAUGUUGUUUCAUUUCUGCUUCAGGUAGUAUGGCAGAACUUCACAAUGUGGUGGUUAGAGAUAGGGUUAAAGUAUUUGUCACUAAACUGCCAGCUAAUGCUUCCCAGGACACUUUGAAGGGCAGAGUGCUCGAAGAGACUGGUUUUAAUGUGACUAUCCCAUUGAUAGUUGAUAUUAUAUAUUAGUAAAUGUCAAACCAGAAAUGAUAUAAAAUAGAAGUUUUGUGUGAUGGUUUUAGGGGCUGGGGGUGUUGUUGCUAAGUGCUCCAUCACUUGCUGGCAUGCACAAGGCCCUGUGCUUGAUCAUGCACUGAGAAAAGCAAAAGAGUGAUGGUUCUCCAGGCAAACUGCUGGGGUUCCUUAUUUUAUCAAUUAAAUGCAUGAUCUUGCAUGAAUUAUUUAUCUUAAUCUCUUGGAUAAUACUAGUACUUUUGCUGUUAGAAUUGGUUUCAGUAAUAAAAGUAUUAUUGUUGGGUAUGGAGGUGCAUGCCUAUAAUCCCAGUGACUUCUUAGAAGAUCAACAGUGUUUUGGUUUUUUUGUUGUUGUUUUUUUUUUGUUUGUUGUUUUUUUGGUACCAGGGAUUGAACUCAGGGACACUUAACCACUGAGCCACCUCCCAGCCCUAUUUUAUGUUUUAUGCCUCACGUUGGCUGAGAUUGAGGCUGGCUAACUCCUGCCUCGGCCUUCCGAACCACUGGGAUUACAGGCAUGCACCACCACACCUUGUAGGAAUUUUGUUCUUGAGGGUCCAUUCUGGGACACUUCAGAAAACUGUGGGGGGCGGGGGCUGGGAAUUGAACUCAGGGCCUUGUGCAUGUGAGGCAAGGACUCUACCAACUGAGCAAUAUCCCCAGCCCUAGAAAAUUCUUAGUAACACAUUAUAAGAUCCCAUGUUUCAUUUGGGAUUUAUAAAAUACUGGAUGUUACACAAUGGGACUACUCACUGCUCCGCAUUAAUGUAAUGGCAGUAUAAGUCAAUUCUUGUAAUCUCUCUAAUAAGUGUAUUUCUGCAGCUUUAUUAACAUAUAUAAACUUUCUGGAAUGUAUAAAGCUCAGGUUAUUUGAGUGCAAACUUAAGGCAUAUGUACAAAGAAUAUUUUUAAAACUUGGUUUAAAAAAAUGUGUGCCAGGCACAGUGGCACGUAUCCAUAAUCAUAGGUACUUGGGAGGCUGAGGCCAGGAGGAUUGCAAUUUUGAGGCCAGCCUGGGCAACUUGUCUAAAAAUUUUAAAAAGGGCUGUGGGCAAUGUAGUUCAGUGACAGUGUCUCUAGGUUCACUGUCUAGUAUUACAAAGAGGGGGCAAAAAAAAAAAAAAAAACCUAAAACAGUAGUGUGGUUUUAAAUGUUAAGUGGCAGAACAAUUCUUUCUUCUGAAUGGGGAUUUCCUUGUCCACUCCAUUCUUAGUUGUCAAUAUAUAUAUAGACCUUAUUAAGAAGGAUUUUGAAAUGUUUGUGUCUAGAAAGAUAAGUUGUAGUUACUGCCUUUGGUUAAUCAAUUAAAGUGGGUUUGACCCCCUUUUAUGGCAUUUCAAGUUUUGUGUCCCCUUACUGAGUAUUAAACUUAACUGCAAUUGGUCUAUUUUUUAAAUUAAAGCUUUAUAGAUAUAGAUAGUAGUAGGGCUCAUCCCAACAAACUCAAAUGCAUGGAGUUCUAUUUCAGUUCAUGAUUCCCCACCCUUUCCCUUCCCAUCCUCCUCCUCUCACAUUCUCCUUUGUAGUUUUGACUUCCCUUUGCUCAUUUUUAUUAAUUUAUAUUUGAUUGGUUUUUUUCUACGUACACAUAAAGGUGAGGUUCCCUGUCAUGUGUUCAUAUAUGCACAUAAUGUGAUUUUGGGGGAUUACCAGGGAUUGAACCAGGGGUACUUAACCACUGAGCAACACCCCUAGCCCAUUUUUUAUUUUGAAAGGGUCUUGCUUAGAGCCUUGAUAAGUUGCUGAGGCUGAUCUGAAUUUGCAAUCCUCUUGCCUUGGCCUCCCAAGCCACUGCACCUGGCUGUUUUCUAAGAGUUCAUUCUGCAUUGCUUUCCCUUAGCCAUCCUAUCAUUUCCUCCCCAUUUCCUAUAUUUUAACUCUAGCUUCUACAUAAAACAAUAAACUUUCUAACAUGCAAUUUAAACUAAUUUUGUUUGCAGACUGACAUCAAUUUGCCAUAUCUUACAAUGGAUGCUUCUGGACCCAAGCAUUUGAAUAUGAAGCUGACCCGGGCUCAAUUUGAAGGGAUUGUCACUGAUUUAAUCAAGAGGACCAUUGCUCCAUGUCAAAAAGCUAUGCAGGAUGCAGAAGUCAGCAAAAGUGACAUAGGAGAAGUGAUUCUUGUUGGUGGUAUGACUAGAAUGCCCAAGGUGUGAACCCAUGGAAUUCUUGGCUUGGAGAAAAGGGGGGCCAGCAUGUAAACUGCCAGGGUGACUUAAGAGGGAUGUGAUUGUGUCCUCACUAGAGACUUUUUGGCUUUUUUAGUUAAAGGGAAGCAGAAUGUCUUUGAGAACUGUCCCAUGGAGUUGCUGUUAUCACUGAAGUUUUAUCCCCAUCUCGUAUUUAUUUAUUUGGUACUAGGGAUUGAACCCAGGGGUGCUUAACCACUGAAACACAUUCACUUUUUUAUAUUUUAUUUAGAGACAAAGUCUCCCUGAGUUCUGAGGCUGACUUUGAACUAGUGAUCCUCCUGGCUCAGUCUCCCAAGCCUCUGAGAUUAAGGCAUGCACCACCAUACCUGGCAGGAUAUAUGUCUUUACAGUUUAGUGCCUAGUGUUUGAUAGUCUGAAUUAGAAUUAUUCUGGGUUCUGAAUUAGUGAUCUUUGGUAUUUUCUUAGUUUUUCUGUUGAAGUAUUUGGGCUCAGGAAAAGAGCACAAAAUUAAUGGUGGGGGGUUCUGGGACAAGAGGAGUCCUGAAUUUUAACAACUUAUUCAUGGUCCUAUUCUAGUUGUACUGAUUAGUCCUAAUAAACCGAAGAAUGUGCCCCAUGUUAGCAACAGUUUUAUUAUGUUGCUUCCAUUAUUUGGUCUUCAGUUAAUAGGACUUGGAUGACAAAAUUUUAAGUCCCCUUGCCUUAACACCAUCUGUUUAAAAUGAUUUCAUUAAUGUGCAGGAAACGAGAUAAUAAAUAUUAGGGAUAUUUAGUAAUAAAGGAUAUCAAAUAUAAAAGGGCAGUGAGUGAGAAACUCUGGUUAAAGAAUGCAUUAACAAGAAUUCAACUAUGAAAUAAUUUUAGUAGAAUUCUGUCUUUAGAUCUGAUUGGCUUAAUUGGAGAACACGAUAUUCAGGUUUUCAUUACCUACCAAAUUAAGUUUGUGUUUUAAUUGGAGAAUAUUGUGUUGUCCACUUGAGUUCUCCAUCUUAAGUUUUCUGUCUCACUCUUAUCGGACAAUUACCCUAAAUAUUGGCUGGCAUUUUUCUUCUUAAUGCUCAGGUUCAGCAAACUGUGCAAGAUCUUUUUGGCCGAGCCCCAAGUAAAGCUGUUAAUCCUGAUGAAGCUGUGGCCAUUGGAGCUGCCAUUCAAGGAGGUGUAUUGGCUGGUGAUGUCACAGAUGUACUGCUCCUGGAUGUCACGCCUUUGUCUCUGGGCAUUGAGACUCUGGGAGGUGUCUUUACCAAACUUAUUAAUAGAAACACCACUAUUCCAACCAAGAAGAGUCAGGUAAGAGCUCUCCUUCUCUUUGCCUCAUCACAGAAGUAUUAUCUCUCUAUAUUUCUGAAAAACUGCAGCUAUUGCUGCAUUUGUGCAAUGAUGUUUUUGUCAACACAUCAUUCUGAAGGAAAAAGUAUGUGAUGACAUCCUAUGACUGAGCACAUAAUAACAUCUGGUUUUUGUCUUUAACACCUUCUGUGCUAAUGCUAUAUCUAUAAGGAGAGUUUUAAUUAGAUUGUCAACCUGUGAUGCACUGUUCCCCAGGUGUUUUCUACUGCUGCUGAUGGACAGACUCAAGUGGAAAUUAAAGUGUGUCAAGGUGAGAGAGAGAUGGCUGGAGACAACAAACUUCUUGGACAGUUUACUUUGGUAGGUAUUGAAAAAUCUGAAAAUUGUGUUCUCCAAUUGCUUCAUUCUAAAGUUAGAUAGUACUCCAGAUCCUAUAAACUGCUGACAUAUAUAGGAUGAAUUCUGCAAUCCAUGCCUUUGGUGUUUAUCAGAGCCUUAGAAAUUUCAUCAAGUACUUUAUAAAAUGUUUCUUCUAAUCAUGUAAGAGUCAUUUGAUGAUGUUACUGGCUUUUGAUCAGUAUUGCUUGUUGUUCUUAAUGAUAUGAACUACAGUGGAGAGGUUUCCUAUCAUUCACCAUGUCCCCAGAUAAAUAUAGCCAUUAUAGUUAUUCACUGUAAAUCUAACUAAACUUCACAAAUAUAAAGCCCUGUUGAUUUCAUGCAGCAAUGAAGCUACCACCCUCACUUUUAUAAACUCAUGGUUUUGUGCACUGUGUGAAGGUAUCACUUGUUCCUUCCAGGAAGCAAAUAAUUUGUUUACCUAAUGAUCAUAUAGUUGUGACAAUAGGAGCACUGGACCUCCUGUUAAAGGAUCUUACUCUGAGUAUUGCUUACUUUAGAUUGGAAUUCCCCCUGCCCCUCGUGGAGUCCCUCAGAUUGAAGUUACCUUUGAUAUUGAUGCCAAUGGGAUCGUACAUGUUUCUGCAAAAGACAAGGGCACUGGACGUGAGCAGCAGAGUAAGUCCUUAUCAGUUAAGUGUAAGAUGAGGGACCUCUGUUGGGAAUUAGAUCCUGUUUUCUUCUCUGUCCUGAGGGCAGAAUGAGUCUUCUUUACAAGUAUAAUGUUUUUCAGGGAAUGGGGGCAAAUAGGUAAGCAGUGAGCCCCCUGGUGAAUUUUAAGUAGGAAAAAGUAAACCAGUUGACCUUGGCCAGAGGAAGAACGGGUAUGUAAUUUUACCAAAGAGCUAAUAGAUGUUUUUUCUUACAGUUGUAAUCCAGUCCUCUGGUGGAUUAAGUAAAGAUGAUAUUGAAAAUAUGGUUAAAAAUGCAGAGAAGUAUGCUGAAGAAGACCGGCGAAAGAAGGUAAUUGCUUUUGUUUGUCUUGGCUUUUUUUUUUUUUUUUUUUUUUAAUGUUGGUAGAUGGGCACAGUACCUUUAUUCAUUUCAAUUUUAUUUGAUGUUGAGGAUCAAACCCAGUACCUCACAAAUGCUAGGCAAGUAUUCCACCACUGAGCUACAACCCCAGCCCAUCUUCUUGGCUUCUUAAUUUUAGUAAAGCUGACACAUGGAAGUAGAGUUGAACAUUUGGCUGAAUUCUUUUACCACUAUCUUCACCUUUGCUUAUUACUCAGAUCUCUUUUGCUUUCAUAUAGGGUCUUUUUAUGGUCCCAAACUCUUGGGCUCAAAUAAUGUCCCACUUAGCUACCUGAGUAGCUGGGAUAUAGGUAUGCAUGACAACACCCUUGCUUGAAAUGUUUUUUCUUAGUCUUCUAUCAGAAUUCUUAUGAAAAGAGUCUAGCUCAAACCUCUCUCAGAGUUUUGAUUGGAAAAACAUUUGUAUUAAACUUUUCAUUUCUCUAAGGAACGAGUUGAAGCAGUUAACAUGGCUGAAGGAAUCAUUCAUGACACAGAAACCAAGAUGGAAGAAUUCAAGGACCAAUUACCUGCUGAUGAGGUAAACUGUUCUCAAACAAUUGAAGAGAUUGGGGGAAUUAUCACCACUGAGUGAAGUUUGUUUUUCUGUGUAUCAUGAUAUAAGUAAUCAGUUUUUUAAGUGUUCUGAAUAUUACUGCAACACAUAAUGGGACAGAAGACCUGAGAAAAUGAAAAUUUUUGUCUUUUUUUAAGUGCAACAAACUUAAAGAAGAGAUAUCCAAAAUGAGGGAGCUCCUGGCUCGAAAAGACAGUGAAACGGGAGAAAACAUCAGGCAGGCAGCAUCCUCCCUUCAGCAGGCAUCAUUAAAGCUCUUUGAAAUGGCAUACAAAAAGGUACAAGGGCUGACGGGUAUUUUGAUCCUGAUUACUUUUCUUGUAACUUUUUUAAAUUACUGUUACUGGUGUUCUUCUCUCCAUGUCAUUUAUGGAAUUGAGAAUAGGAUUUUAAAACAUCUCCUGCCAUCUUGAUUCUAUUUAGGGAAUGAUGAUAGUGUCAAAGGAAUCGGGAAAGCACUAGUGUAGGGGAUGGAACAGGAGUGCACGGGAUGAGACUCCUUUGUUUUGGUGUUGAAGUAUUAGCUUAAUAUUCUGAAUGGGUAUCAAAUGUUUUCUUAACAGAUGGCAUCUGAGAGAGAAGGCUCUGGAAGUUCUGGCACUGGGGAACAAAAGGAAGAUCAAAAGGAGGAGAAACAGUAAUAGUACAUUGGAGCCAAAAAGACCACAUUCUAUAUGAAGCUUAGGAGUGAAGGCACUUCCUGAGCAGAAAUGGGCAACCUUCAGUCUUUACUGUAUUUUUGCAGUAUUCAAUAUAUAAUUUCCUUGAUAUGUAAAUUUAGUGACCAUUAGCUGAUGAACAUUUAAUGGGCAAUAAUUCUAUGCAGUACAAAGUUCACAAUGUUCUCUCCCUGGCCUGUUAAUUUUCAGCUGCAUGUGAAAGGGUUAGGGGUAGACGAUUUACUAAUCAUUAUAAAGACUUCCUGUUGGUUUGUGCUAAAGUGGCAAUAUUUUCAAGGUGUGAAACUAUAUCAAACACAAUAAAGGAGAUGUACCAUAAUAACCUGGAAUGAGACCAUAAUGAGGAUGAAGAUCCUAGUUGGUCAAGAGCACUGCUGUAAUAGCCGAUGUGUACUCGGGGUCCUUCGGCUGAGGCCUUGAAGCACAAGAGAGCUAGCUGUGCUAAGGUUGUAGUAGGUGGGACAGAGGAAGCUGGUCAGUGGAAAACUAAGCUAUUUAUGUUAGGUAGCUUAAAAUAAGGUAGUUCUUAAAUCCCUAAUGUUCCUAAGGCAUACUUUUCUAGCUACCCUCUGGCCCAUCUGGCACCUACCUACAUCCUUGAGAUUGUUCUUUCUGAUCCAUUCUGGAUUUUUAAAAAAAUAAAUAUGAAAAAUAUCUUGAUUUCUUGUUUUUAUGGUGUGAGCUGCAGUUUAGCUUCAGGACUAUGACAUGUCACACUUUCCAUAUUUUCCAAGGAAGAAAACGGGAUUUUCUAGCACUGGGUAAAGAGACGAACAAAUCCAAAGAUUCAGAAGGAUUGGUAUAAAAAGUCACAGGCAAAUUUUAGAUGUCUAUUACAAAAACCAGGUCUUUUUAUUCAGGUUGCUGUCAGCUUAGAAAUGUAUACAACCAAGCCUGGCUUACUUGAAGAAACUGAUAUAUAGUAGUCAUAAGAUGUAUUUUGAGUGAUUUCAAAAAUAAGGAACCCAGAUUCUUGAUCUGUUUGUGCUUUCCCAUCCUCAGUGUAUUGGCUUGUCCCAAAUUUCGAUGUCACAUGCCAAUGACUUAAGUGAUAUUGUUCGAAUGUCUCAUUAAGUAGAAUUAUUUCCCAUGUCUCUGAACAUACUUCUCUUUGAAUUUCAUGGAUACUUAAGUAAACUUAUACCAUGUAACAUAGCUCCUUUAUAAUUUAAUGGUAUUUAGAAAUGCAGGGUUCUGUUGGGGGAGGUGUAUUUUGGAUAGGGGUCUCACUAAAUUGCUAAGAGCCUCAGCGUCUUGUGAUUACAGGCAUGUACCACCAUGCCUAUCAGAAAUUUCCAUUUUUAAGGUCAAUACAAGAAAUCAGUUCAAUGCCCUACUGUGGAGGAAGUGAGUGAUUUCUACAUUGCAUAACUAGAAAAUUCACUUGUCUACUUCGUAACACCCAUGUGAAAAUUAUUAGGAUUUGUGUGAGUUGAUACUCAGGUUUUCAGCCACAUGAACACUUGAUAGGGACCUACAAUGAUUCUGUCAUAAAAGAUGGUUUAUUAUGUUGGAAGAUGCUUUUCUGAUUGACCUCUGCUGUGUUCAGAUCAGUAUGGUAGCUAAACUGUUCUCUAAGAUUUCCAAGUACCCUGACUGAUCAUUAAUAGCAUGUUUUAAUCAAGGUUUACCCUUGAGACUGAAGCAUGCCCUGAACAGAAUCUGGGUUCUACUGGAAAGGGUACUUGAGUAGAUGUCCUAUUGUCUUAAGGUGCCCAGUGGGAGAAAUAAAACACAUUGAACUGUAAUUCAGUUCUCUCUCAAUCUAAGCUGUAAUAGCAUAAAAAAUUUCAUUAGGAUUUCCCAGAGAUAUAAACUCAUAGGAUAUUAUAUAGUCUGAGGCUCACUAUAAGAAAUUUGCUUAUAAUUAAAGUUGCUCAAACCAAAACCUGCAGUCAUCAAAUCUUACCAAAGUAUGUAAAGAAUUACCAUCUCUACUAUUUUUAUUGUAAAUUACCUUGGAUUACCCUGAGUUUUGACCAGUCUAUCCACUUAAACCAUUGCUAUAUUGGUACAUUGGUAUUUUCUCACAGCAGUGAGAUGGCACUCCCCUUCUCUAAGCUCUUCCCAAGGCCUACAGGCUUCACAUCAUGUGGCCCCUCAUUACCACUUUACUCCUUUCUCCCAAAUUUUAUCUUCUGGCUUUUAUCCCUUGAUGGAACAGUCUCAACAUUUCCAUUUGACUCACCUAUCACUUUUUUUUUUUUGAGAAAGAGAAAUAUAAAAAUAGCCCCCCCUUCUCAAGUUUGUCAUUUCCUAUUCCUACUCUCCUCUUAGCAUUUUUUACUAUUCAAUUUGUCCUUUCCCCACCUAAAAUGUAAGCUACAUUAACACCAAAAAUUGUUCAUUGACAAUGUAUCUGCACCCAGAAUAAUUCCUAGCACAUAAACACUAAAAUAUUUCAAAAUACCUCUACUGUCCAAAAUUCAGAGUGGCUUUACAUUUCCAUUUUAGAAAUUAAAGCCUUUUGGUUAUUGAUUUAUAAAUUACAUCCUUGUCUGCCAAACUCACAAUGGGGGUGGGGGAGCUUAUACCAAAUUUAAUUGAUAAUGUGCUGUGGAUCAAAUUUUUGCGUUCAUGUAUGCUUCUCUCCAUCUCCAGGCCAAGAUAAAAGGUGAAUUUGGGUUCAUUUUAAAUUGGGGUCUUCCACAUUGCCCAGGCUAUUAUAAUUUUAUGAGCCCAGGUAAUCCUUUCCCAGCCUCUGUAGUUGGAACUACAGGCAUGUGUCACCAUGGCCAACAAGAUGAAAAGGCUCAUCUCAAACUUGCAAGUCUCCUUUCUCAGCCUCCCAAAUAGCUAAGGUUACACUUUAGCUGGGAUUAUUGGUGUGUGCCAUUCUUUUUAAGUACCAAGGUUUGAACCCAGGGGGCCCUUAACCCCUGAGCCACAUCUCCAGCAUUUUUCCUUGAGACAGGGUCUCACCAAAUUUCUUAGGGACUCACUCAGUUGCUGAGGCUGGCUGUGAACUUGCAAUCUUUCUGCCUCAGCCUCCUGAGCCAUUGGGAUUAAAAGUUUGCACCACCCUGCUCAGCCAUAUUAUUUUCCCAAGAAUGUAUGAAAUUAAAAAAAAAAAAUCAACUGAGGUAAAUGGCAUACAUUUUUUUUUUUUUAAGAUCAUACAAGGGAAGUCUGCAUGGCUCAUGAAUGCACAAAUGCCAGUUAUGAGAGAUUGAGGCUACAAGGUCUGUCUUUUUUCCUCUCUUGCCUGCUGCCCUUCUGUUUGGAUUAUGCAGCAAUGCUUCCCCCGCCCCCAUUUGGUGACACUGGGGAUUGAACCCAGGACCUCAUGAUAGAAAAACACUAUAUACCUGAGCUAAACCCAGAGCACUUUUAAAAAUUUAGAACAGGGUUUCACUAAAUUGCCCAGGCUGGCCUCAAACUUGUAAUACUCCUGCUUCAACCUCUCUAGUAGCCAGGAUUACAUCACCACACUUGGUAUCAGCAAGGUGGCUCUUGAUUCUGGGAUUUCUCCACAUUGCAGAAUUGAACCAAUAUAUUCAUAAUAUAUUACCCAGUCAGUAUUGUAAUAGCAGCACAAAGUGGACUGAGAUAGGAUUGCCAUUUAUUCUGGUCAUUCCCAUUCUGUGUGCUAUCCAGAAAAACCUUGGGCCAUGUAUUUGGUUUUAAUUUUCCAGGAUAUAGCCCCCCGCAAAUUGCUGGGAUUACAGGUGUGUGCCACUGCAUCUUGCUGGGACUUAGUGAAGUUGUAAGUGCCUUAGAGAUAACCAAAUCCACAGAUACUUUUCAAACUAUUUUUUUCCACUCUACCACUGAGUAUACCCCAGCCUCAAUACAGAACUCUGGGGCUGGGGUCAUAGCUCAGUGGUGGAGCACUUGUCUUGCAUGGUGAGGCCGUGGGUUCGAUCCUCAUCACCACAUAAAAAUAAAUAAUAAAGGUAUUGUGUCAACUACAAAUAAAUAAAUAAAUAAAUAAGGUAUUGUGUCAACUACAACUAAAAAAACUUAAUAAAGGUUUUGUGUCCACCUACAAGUGAAAAAAUAUUUAAAAAUUCUAAAAAUAUAUAGAACUCUCUGGACAGGCAUGGUGGUGCACGCCUGUAAUCCCAGCAGCUCAUGAGGGUGAGGCAGGAGGAUGGAGUUCAAAGCCAGCUUCAGCAACGUUGAGGCGUUAAGCAACUCAGUGGUAUCUCUUUCUAAAUAAAAUACAAAAUAGGGCUGGGAGGGCGUUGGGGUUGUGGCUCAGUGAUAGAGUGCUCACCUAGCACAUGAAAGGC
This 18049-nucleotide long non-coding RNA is filed under the name Marmota monax (woodchuck). The stretch from base 11227 to 11298 matches the Rfam family "Small nucleolar RNA SNORD63". The record is from RNAcentral. Lineage: Eukaryota; Metazoa; Chordata; Mammalia; Rodentia; Sciuridae.